This 94-nucleotide transfer RNA is filed under the name Halobellus sp. Atlit-31R. RNAcentral describes it as "tRNA-Ala". It matches the Rfam family "tRNA". Rfam says of the family: Transfer RNA (tRNA) molecules are approximately 80 nucleotides in length. Lineage: Archaea; Methanobacteriati; Methanobacteriota; Halobacteria; Halobacteriales; Haloferacaceae. The record is from RNAcentral.
GGAAGGGUGGCUCAGUGGUAGAGCAAUUCGGCAGCGACCGUCGCACGGUCGCGCCGGCUUACGGCUUCGCGUGGUUCGACUCCCGCCCCUUCCA